AGCAGUAGCCACGGUAAUACGGAGGGUGCAAGCGUUAUCCGGAUUUAUUGGGUUUAAAGGGUCCGUAGGCGGAUCUGUAAGUCAGUGGUGAAAUCUCACAGCUUAACUGUGAAACUGCCAUUGAUACUGCAGGUCUUGAGUAAAUUUGAAGUGGCUGGAAUAAGUAGUGUAGCGGUGAAAUGCAUAGAUAUUACUUAGAACACCAAUUGCGAAGGCAGGUCACUAAGAUUUAACUGACGCUGAUGGACGAAAGCGUGGGGAGCGAACAGGAUUAGAUACCCCUGUAGUCCCUGUCUCUUAUAA
RNAcentral lists this ribosomal RNA (303 nucleotides) under uncultured bacterium. RNAcentral describes it as "partial 16S ribosomal RNA". It matches the Rfam family "Bacterial small subunit ribosomal RNA", at positions 507 to 809 of the family's 1533-position model. The record is from RNAcentral.